UCCAUUGCUCCCCUGGGUACGAGGGAGGGGCUCACUGAGACUCGUUACACAGACCGUCACUAAGAGAUGGAUUGGGCUCCUGGGGACAUCCAGAAGCAUUAAGUCAAACUUGGGCCUGAGUGCUUCCACAGAGCCCAGUGAUGGGGGGGGAGACAUGGGGGAUGCGGAAGGCUCUCUGCCAGGUGGAUUAUGGGUAAAGCUGGUAUGAGGGGAAACAGCAGCCCUCCACUGAGAGCUUCAGAAGGGUAAAUCCCAUCUGGCAAAACAACAGACCAUGCGAAAACUUGGAUGUGUAAACCCUCCCCAGGUCAACACACAAAUGCACACCCUGAGGAUCUUGGGUAGGCUCUGAACGUGUUUUACAACGCUCAUAGGUGACAACAGUUAGUGGUUAGGGGUGUCCCACAAGUAGAGGAUUCAGCUAGUGGGUGGGGCCAUAUUGGUGGGCGUGUCUGUAGAGGGGUGGGUGGGGCCAUGUCUGUUGGUAGGUGUGUCAGGGCUUGUGGUGGAGGUGUCUGUCGCCAGGCUGCAUCCAUGGAAUGGAACACGCCUUAUUUAAUUCUCGCUUUGGCAGCAGCUACACAAUCAUGCUGCAUAAAGCAUCUGAGCGACUGCAGAAGCCAGUAAUAACACUGAAUAUCAUGCGGCCAUUUACAUUAUGUAAACCACUCCAGAAGAAAUGAGUCCUUCUGUCUGGAAUCUCCAUCUGCUUGGAUCCGUACCGUCUCCGCCACCUAUGGUGCCAGUGCUGAAGCUGCAGACGUCACCGACGCAAGGCUCCUGGUAACAGCUGCAAAUAAUUAAUGUGAGUUACGCCCCAUGCGCGGGGAGACGGGCUGCCUGCACCCCACACGCGUCCCUCCUCGCUGGGAAACAGCGUGCGGCUGGUGGCUAGUGGUGGCAGGAAGGGAAAGGGACAACGGGGACGAGGCCGGAGGUGGGUAUCAGUGAGUGGCGAUGCUGGGCAGCCCACGGACGCGGCCUGCACACCCCAGGGUGACUGCUUACCGGAAGCCUGUGAGGACACAGCAUGAUCUCAGCAGUCAGCCAUUCCCACCACGCCCAGCCACUGCGAACAAAGACAGCUUUAAUCUGCAAAUAAUUAUUCAAAUUCUACAAAGGAAGUAAGAGAACACUAAGUUUCCAAAACUUAUUCAGUCCAUGGGAUGCAUGGACAGGAUAGGUUCACGAGUGGCAGUACCAGAAGUUCCAUCACCAAGAAUACCAAACCAGCUGGAGUACUUUUUCGAUACUUCAGUAUUUGCACGCAUGUUUACUGUGUGCAUUAAGUGCAAUCUGGUCGAAAGAACAUAUCGCGAAAUUUAAACUUCCUGGACAGUAUGAAAAAGCCUGAUCUUAACCCAGCUGACUAUUGCAGUAGACGUGAGAAUUUAAUGUGCAUAACAUGCAUUGUUGGUAUUAAUAUCGCACAUCACCCAUCUCUAUAUACUACAGCCAUUUUUUUCGAAUUCAGUACAAAAUACCCUGCCUUGUGUCAUUCAGCACUGGUACCAGUGUUCACAUCCUGAGUGAGUUUUGGAAAUUUGUUCCUCAAUUAUGUGUUAAAAGGCCCUUUGAAUGAAUCAGAUAAACAAUAUGACUAUAAUCCAUUAAAUAAAUGACGACA
This is a long non-coding RNA of Brienomyrus brachyistius, 1627 nucleotides long. RefSeq lists it as uncharacterized. Lineage: Eukaryota; Metazoa; Chordata; Actinopteri; Osteoglossiformes; Mormyridae. The record is from RefSeq and is a predicted model, not a curated record. The transcript is spliced from 2 exons.